This 368-nucleotide ribosomal RNA is filed under the name uncultured bacterium. RNAcentral describes it as "bacterial SSU rRNA". It matches the Rfam family "Bacterial small subunit ribosomal RNA", at positions 527 to 895 of the family's 1533-position model. The record is from RNAcentral.
GUAGGGUCCAAGCGUUAAUCGGAAUUACUGGGCGUAAAGCGUGCGCAGGCGGUUGUGCAAGACCGAUGUGAAAUCCCCGAGCUUAACUUGGGAAUUGCAUUGGUGACUGCACGGCUAGAGUGUGUCAGAGGGGGGUAGAAUUCCACGUGUAGCAGUGAAAUGCGUAGAGAUGUGGAGGAAUACCGAUGGCGAAGGCAGCCCCCUGGGAUAACACUGACGCUCAUGCACGAAAGCGUGGGGAGCAAACAGGAUUAGAUACCCUGGUAGUCCACGCCCUAAACGAUGUCAACUAGUUGUUGGGGAUUCAUUUCCUUAGUAACGUAGCUAACGCGUGAAGUUGACCGCCUGGGGAGUACGGUCGCAAGAUU